Molecule: ribosomal RNA, 1199 nt
Filed under: metagenome
Description: bacterial SSU rRNA
Rfam family: Archaeal small subunit ribosomal RNA
Source: RNAcentral
GUUUCGACGUCUAAGGAUGGGACUGCACCGAAUUAGAUUGAUGUUGAGGUAAUGGCCCAACAUGUCUAUAAUUCGUAGGGGCUGUGAGAGCAGUAGCCCCCAGAUGGGUUCUGAGACACUAACCCAGGCCCCACGGGGCGCAGCAGAUGCGAAACCUCCACAAUGCGCGCAAGCGUGAUGGGGGAACCCGAAGUGCUGGCGUACUUCGUCAGCUUUUAUUGAGUCUAAAUCGCUCGGUGAAUAAGUGGUGGGUAAGACCGCUGCCAGCCGCCGCGGUAAUAGCGGCGCCACGAGUGGUAUCCACGUAUAUUGGGUUUAAACCGUCCGUAGCCGGUUCGGUCAGUCUUCUGUGAAAUCUACAAGAAAACUUGUAGGCGUGCGGGGAAACUACCGAACUUGAGACCGGGAGGGGCUAGAGGUACUUUUGGGGUAGUGGUGGAAUACUGUAAUCCCAAAGGGACCACCUGUGGCGAAGGCGUCUAGCUGGAACGGAUCUGACGGUGAGGGACGAAAGCUAGGGGAGCGACACGGAUUAGAUACCCGUUUAGUCCUAGCUGUAAACGAUGCCCGCUUGGUAUUGGAGAUCUUUCGGGGAUCUCCAGUGCCGAAGGAAAACCGUUAAGCGGGCCACCUGGGGAGUACGGUCGCAAGGCUGAAACUUAAAGGAAUUGGCGGGGGAGCACUACAAGGGGUGCAGUCUGCGGUUCAAUUGGAUAAUACGCCGGGAACCUCACCAGGAGCGACAGCAGAAUGAUGGUCAGUCUGAAGGGCUUACCUGACUCGCUGAGAGGUGUUGCAUGGCCGACGUCAGCUCGUGCCGUGAGGUGUCCUGUUAAGUCAGGUAACGAGCGAGACCCGUGUCUUAUGUUGCUACCCAACCUUUCGAGGGUGGGGCACUCAUAAGAGAUCGCUGGCGAUAAGUCAGAUGAAAGGGCGGGCAACGUUAGGUCAGUAUGGCCCGAAUCUCCUGGGCUACACGCGGGCCGCAAUGGCAAGCACAAUGAGAUGCUACUCCGAAAGGAGACGCAAAUCCCCCAAAGCUUGUCUUGGUUCUGAUUGAGGUUUGCAACUCAACCUCAUCAAGGCGGAAUCCCUAGUAGUUGAACUUUAGCACAGUUCGGCGAAUACGUCCCUGCUCCUUGCACACACCGCCCAUCAAACCACCUGAGUUGAUCGUGGAUGAGGCUUUAUCGUCUCGG